GAUGAACGCUAGCGAUAGGCUUAACACAUGCAAGUCGAGGGGCAGCACAAGGUAGCUUGCUCUCUGGGUGGCGACCGGCGCACGGGUGCGUAACGCGUAUGCAACUUGCCCUAUACAGGAGGAUAACCCGUCGAAAGACGGACUAAUACUGCGUAUGCUCACAACUUGGCAUCAAGUGGUGAGGAAAGAAAUUCGGUAUAGGAUAGGCAUGCGUCCCAUUAGCUUGUUGGUGAGGUAACGGCUCACCAAGGCAACGAUGGGUAGGGGAACUGAGAGGUUUAUCCCCCACACUGGUACUGAGACACGGACCAGACUCCUACGGGAGGCAGCAGUGAGGAAUAUUGGUCAAUGGGCGCGAGCCUGAACCAGCCAAGUCGCGUGAAGGAUGACUGUCUUAUGGAUUGUAAACUUCUUUUAUACGGGAAUAACAAGAGUCACGUGUGACUCCCUGCAUGUACCGGAUGAAUAAGCAUCGGCUAACUCCGUG
This 487-nucleotide ribosomal RNA is filed under the name uncultured bacterium. RNAcentral's name for it is "partial 16S ribosomal RNA". It matches the Rfam family "Bacterial small subunit ribosomal RNA", at positions 28 to 507 of the family's 1533-position model. The record is from RNAcentral.